CAGCAGCCGCGGGAAUACAGAGGGUGCGAGCGUUAAUCGGAUUUACUUGGCGUAAAGCGUGCGUAGGCGGCUUCUUAAGUCGGAUGUGAAAUCCCUGAGCUUAACUUAGGAAUUGCAUUCGAUACUGGGAAGCUAGAGUAUGGGAGAGGAUGGUAGAAUUCCAGGUGUAGCGGUGAAAUGCGUAGAGAUCUGGAGGAAUACCGAUGGCGAAGGCAGCCAUCUGGCCUAAUACUGACGCUGAGGUACGAAAGCAUGGGGAGCAAACAGGAUUAGAGACCCCCGUAGUCCCUGUCUCUUAUAC
This 301-nucleotide ribosomal RNA is filed under the name uncultured bacterium. Its description in RNAcentral is "partial 16S ribosomal RNA". It matches the Rfam family "Bacterial small subunit ribosomal RNA", at positions 509 to 807 of the family's 1533-position model. The record is from RNAcentral.